Molecule: transfer RNA, 73 nt
Filed under: Marmota monax (woodchuck)
Lineage: Eukaryota; Metazoa; Chordata; Mammalia; Rodentia; Sciuridae
Description: tRNA.Val
Rfam family: tRNA
About the family: Transfer RNA (tRNA) molecules are approximately 80 nucleotides in length. Their secondary structure includes four short double-helical elements and three loops (D, anti-codon, and T loops).
Source: RNAcentral
UGUGGCUGUGGCUCAGUGCUAGAGCACUCAUCUCACAUGUGUGAGGCCCUGGGUUCGAUCUUCAGCACCAUAA